GGCUGCGUGGCUCAGUGGUGUGAGCCUGGGGAGCCUAAGCGCUCGCCUAAUUUUUAGUGCGAUCCAAAGGAAGGCGGUUCAAAUCCGCCCGCAGUCG
This is a non-coding RNA of Colletotrichum acutatum, 97 nucleotides long. The record is from the annotation of a RefSeq genome assembly. NCBI's taxonomy places the organism in Eukaryota, Fungi, Ascomycota, Sordariomycetes, Glomerellales, Glomerellaceae.